Molecule: ribosomal RNA, 393 nt
Filed under: uncultured Methanomicrobiaceae archaeon
Lineage: Archaea; Methanobacteriati; Methanobacteriota; Methanomicrobia; Methanomicrobiales; Methanomicrobiaceae
Description: bacterial SSU rRNA
Rfam family: Archaeal small subunit ribosomal RNA
Source: RNAcentral
GUGAGGGGUACUCCAGGGGUAGGAGUGAAAUCCUGUAAUCCUUNGGGGACCACCUGUGGCGAAGGCGCCUCACCAGGACGGNUCCGACAGUGAGGGACGAAAGCUGGGGGAGCAAACCGGAUUAGAUACCCGGGUAGUCCCAGCCGUAAACGAUGUGCGUUAGGUGUAUCGGUGACCACGAGUCACCGAGGUGCCGAAGAGAAAUCGUGAAACGUACCGCCUGGGAAGUACGGUCGCAAGGCCGAAACUUAAAGGAAUUGGCGGGGGAGCACCACAACAGGUGGAGCCUGCGGUUUAAUCGGACUCAACGCCGGAAAACUCACCAGAUAAGACAGCUGAAUGAUAGUCGGGCUGAAGACUCUACUUGACUAGCUGAGAGGAGGUGCAUGGCCA